AUCUAGCUGACGAGUCCCAAAUAGAACGGAACACGCGUCGCACUGGAU
RNAcentral lists this non-coding RNA (48 nucleotides) under Schistosoma curassoni. Lineage: Eukaryota; Metazoa; Platyhelminthes; Trematoda; Strigeidida; Schistosomatidae. The record is from RNAcentral.